Molecule: ribosomal RNA, 253 nt
Filed under: uncultured bacterium
Lineage: Bacteria
Description: partial 16S ribosomal RNA
Rfam family: Bacterial small subunit ribosomal RNA
Source: RNAcentral
UACGUAGGGGGCUAGCGUUGUCCGGAAUCAUUGGGCGUAAAGCGCGUGUAGGCGGUUCGAUAAGUCUGCUGUGAAAGUCCAGGGCUCAACCCUGGGAUGCCGGUGGAUACUGUCGGGCUAGAGUACGGAAGAGGCGAGUGGAAUUCCCGGUGUAGCGGUGAAAUGCGCAGAUAUCGGGAGGAACACCAAUGGCGAAGGCAGCUCGCUGGGACGGUACUGACGCUGAGAAGCGAAAGCAUGGGGAGCGAACAGG